GUUAUAGGGUCAAGCGAACAAGUGCAUGUGGUGGAUGCCUUGGCGAUCACAGGCGAUGAAGGACGCGGUAGCCUGCGAAAAGCUACGGGGAGCUGGCAAACGAGCUUUGAUCCGUAGAUGUCCGAAUGGGGAAACCCACUCCUUUUGGAGUAUCCAUGGCUGAAUACAUAGGCCAUG
Molecule: ribosomal RNA, 177 nt
Filed under: Burkholderia cepacia
Lineage: Bacteria; Pseudomonadati; Pseudomonadota; Betaproteobacteria; Burkholderiales; Burkholderiaceae
Also listed under: 1 other name
Description: partial 23S ribosomal RNA
Rfam family: Bacterial large subunit ribosomal RNA
Source: RNAcentral